RNAcentral lists this ribosomal RNA (514 nucleotides) under uncultured bacterium. RNAcentral describes it as "partial 16S ribosomal RNA". It matches the Rfam family "Bacterial small subunit ribosomal RNA", at positions 28 to 523 of the family's 1533-position model. The record is from RNAcentral.
GAUGAACGCUGGCGGCGUGCCUAAUACAUGCAAGUCGAGCGAACUGAUUAGAAGCUUGCUUCUAUGACGUUAGCGGCGGACGGGUGAGUAACACGUGGGCAACCUGCCUGUAAGACUGGGAUAACUCCGGGAAACCGGAGCUAAUACCGGAUAACAUUUUCUCUUGCAUAAGAGAAAAUUGAAAGAUGGUUUCGGCUAUCACUUACAGAUGGGCCCGCGGUGCAUUAGCUAGUUGGUGAGGUAACGGCUCACCAAGGCAACGAUGCAUAGCCGACCUGAGAGGGUGAUCGGCCACACUGGGACUGAGACACGGCCCAGACUCCUACGGGAGGCAGCAGUAGGGAAUCUUCCGCAAUGGACGAAAGUCUGACGGAGCAACGCCGUGUGAGUGAUGAAGGCUUUCGGGUCGUAAAACUCUGUUGUUAGGGAAGAACAAGUACAAGAGUAACUGCUUGUACCUUGACGGUACCUAACCGGAAAGCCACGGCUAACUACGUGCCAGCCGCCGCGGUAA